UACGAAGGGUGCAAGCGUUGUUCGGAAUUACUGGGCGUAAAGAGCGCGUAGGCGGUCUAUUAAGUCAGGCGUGAAAGUCCCGGGCUCAACCUGGGAAUUGCGUUUGAUACUGGUAGGCUUGAGAUUCAGAGAGGUGAGUGGAAUUCCUAGUGUAGCAGUGAAAUGCGUAGAUAUUAGGAGGAACAUCAGUGGCGAAGGCGGCUCACUGGCUGAAUACUGACGCUAAGGCGCGAAAGCGUGGGAGC
RNAcentral lists this ribosomal RNA (245 nucleotides) under uncultured bacterium. Its description in RNAcentral is "partial 16S ribosomal RNA". It matches the Rfam family "Bacterial small subunit ribosomal RNA", at positions 524 to 769 of the family's 1533-position model. The record is from RNAcentral.